This 403-nucleotide ribosomal RNA is filed under the name Verrucomicrobiota bacterium. RNAcentral's name for it is "Verrucomicrobia bacterium partial 16S ribosomal RNA". It matches the Rfam family "Bacterial small subunit ribosomal RNA", at positions 355 to 776 of the family's 1533-position model. Lineage: Bacteria; Pseudomonadati; Verrucomicrobiota. The record is from RNAcentral.
UGGGGAAUAUUGCACAAUGGGGGAAACCCUGAUGCAGCGACGCCGCGUGAGCGAAGAAGGCUUUCGAGUCGUAAAGCUCUGUCCUAUGAGAAGAUAAUGACGGUAUCAUAGGAGGAAGCCCUGGCUAAAUACGUGCCAGCAGCCGCGGUAAUACGUAUGGGGCGAGCGUUGUCCGGAAUUAUUGGGCGUAAAGGGUACGUAGGUGGUUUUUUAAGUCAGGUGUCAAAGCGUGGAGCUUAACUCCAUUAAGCACUUGAAACUGAAAGACUUGAGUGAAGGAGAGGAAAGUGGAAUUCCUAGUGUAGCGGUGAAAUGCGUAGAUAUUAGGAGGAACACCGGUGGCGAAAGCGGCUUUUUGGCCUGCAACUGACACUGAGGCGCGAAAGCGUGGGGAGCAAACAGG